This 2790-nucleotide long non-coding RNA is filed under the name Homo sapiens (human). Its description in RNAcentral is "PREDICTED lncRNA (TCONS_00148951)". The record is from RNAcentral. Lineage: Eukaryota; Metazoa; Chordata; Mammalia; Primates; Hominidae.
AGGCCUCCGGUCGCCUGGCUCCGGCCCCACCCCGCCAUCCCCUGGCCCUGGCUGACUCGCCACCCCCGACACUGCAGCGCCUGCCGACCUCGGGGCCCCGCCCUCUGCCUUCGCUCGCGCCGCUCUCCUUCAGUCUCCCCAGGGCCUGUUUCAUGGAUAGGGUCCCCUUGCCCGCGUGAAAGUCUCAUUCCUCCUCAGCUCAGAAACACUCCAAGGUGCGGGGACUCGUGGAAGGAUUUGAUUCGCGCUUGAGAAAGAUCGCUCCGCUCCUGUAAGGAAGAGAGCGUGUAGGGGCUGCAACCAGAGACACAGUCAGAAGCUCCGAGGCUACCGCGAUGGUCCAGGUGCCACAGGACACAGCCUAACAGAGGCCCAGGUUGGAGCCAUGGACCAUGGAGUCAUGAGAAUGGAAGGGAAGCUGACGCCAUGUGGGAUGGGGUAGAACUGUCCGCAAAUUCGUCCCGCCUCUGGAGUCUUCAGACCAGUCAAGGCCGAAAUUCAACCAAGCCUCUCCUCUCUCUAGCUGUUAUUUGUUUGCAGCACGCGGUCUGGUGGCACCCUGCAGGAUUUACCAGCUUUUUGCCAACAUUCUGGCCUAUGCAAUCAAUACGUCCCUUCAGCGUUGCACUUGGAUGGAUUGGACCUAUAGUUGUUAUAUAUGGAUAUUGUCUAAUUUAUUUAUUACAGUAUUAACUGACUCCUAUGUUCUGGCCUUCAGAAUUUCUCCUUUGGAUCAAUUACUAGCCUGUCUUACAUUUUCUGCUUCAUUCUUUUAAAAUGUUUAGAGAUGAUUUGCUAAGUUUUCUUCAUUGCUGUCAAUGAUGCAAUUUAAACUGUCAAAAAAAUUUUUUCUCAAGCAGGGUAGUAAUGGUGAACCAUUCCCUUGCUAUUCAGACAGCAUGGUUUAGAUGAGGCGCACCUAUCCCCAGCUUUAGGAAUGGAAACAGGACCCAAGUCUGGCUAAUCAGAGACUGGUUUAGGGUCGGCCCCAUGGUCUGAGCCAGACCAAUGAGAAUUGGUAGAGGGACUUCCUUUUGCAACUUCUAUUUUAGAAUCGGGGGUAUAUAUGCAGGCUUGUUACAGAGGUAUAUUGCAUGGUGCUGAGGUUUGGAGUAUGAACGAAUCCGUCCUUCAGGUAAUGAGCAUAGUACCCAAUAGGUAGUUUCAACCCUUGCCCCCUUCCUCCUUCCCCAGUCUUGUAUUCCCCAGUGUCUGUUGUUCCCAGACAUUGAUCUUUUUCCUCUAUGUUGCUAAGCUGGUAGAAAGGCUGGAGUUGCUGGCAACCAUCUUUGCAACCAUGCAGGGAGAACUACUUUGGAAAUGAAGCAAGAUAAAGAAGAAAACAGAUAAAAGGAGACAAAUGUUUGACUUUGUACAGCUGGAAACCAGCAAUGCUGGAAAUGAGCACUGAAGGCAGUUUAAUGGGUUUGUCACUUGUAACCAAGUGACCCAUGGCAAGCUCACAGAUUUGUAUUGGCAGAAUUCCUCCUUUUCUUUAUUUAAAAUGGUACUUUUGGCCAGGCAAGGUGGUUCACACCUGUAAUCCAAAGACUUUGGGAGGCCGAGGCGCACUGAUCACCCAAGGUCAGAAGUUCGAGAACAGCCUGGCCAACAUUGGCGAAACCCCAUCUCUACUAAAAAUACAAACCAUUAGCUGGCUGCGGUGGCCUUUCUACCAGCUUUUUGUCUCAAAAAAAAAAAAAAAAAAGGUACUUUUGCUUAUCUCUAACCUUCCUCUUCCCCAUAAUUUAACAGUUGCCCAUACUAUCUGUUACUCUGAGCUACUCUCUGCCCCAUUCUCCUCCUCUUAUCUUCAGUUCCUCCUAGGCUGUCAGAGCCAUCUGAAAUGAAAACAUUUAGGCCGGGCAUAGUGGUUCAUGCCUGUAAUCCCAGCACUUUGGGAGGCUGAGGCAGGCGGAUCAGCUGAGGUCAGGAGUUCAAGACCACCCUGGUCAACAUGGUGAAACCCCAUCUCUACUAAAAAUACAAAAAUUAUCCAGACAUGGUGGCACAUGCCUCUACUCCCAGCUACUUGGGAGGCUGAGGCAGGAGAAUCGCUUGAACCUAGGAGGCAGGGGUUGCAGUGAGCCGAGAUUGAGCCACUGCACUCUAGCCUGGGCGACAGAGUGAGACUUUGUCUAAAAAACAUAAAUAAAAUAAAAUGAAAUGAAAACAUUUGCUACUUGAAAUCCUUCAGAUUCCCCAUCGCCUACCUACAGGCAAAACUCUCAAGUUCUUUUGUAUGAUUUAACCACUAUCUACCUGUCCAACUGAAAUCUACCCUUCAGUAAUAUUAUACUUGCACCUCCCUUCAUAAGCUAUGCUACAAGUUUGGUUAUGCAGUUGCCCACCUUUUAAGGUUCAAGCCUUGUCUUCUCCAAAGAGCCACCUCUGACUGCCUCACAGUAAGCUUAGGGCCCGCAACUUACCUGUAACUUUUGUUGCACUUAUGGCCUUUUACAACUAUCAAUUUAUGUAUGUGUCUGUUCUCACUGGUUUAUAAGCUCCCUGAGGACAGAGCCUUGCUUGAGUCAUCUGUCAGCAGCCCAAUAUGGGACAAAAAGUGCAUGCAUUGUAAUUACUGAACAGAACUGAUAGAGGCUCAGCAAUUUGCGCUCCAUAGGUCUAAGUUUGAACUUUUCUAGAAAAGGAUUUGCAGGACGAUCUGACGAAUCUUGGGCUUCCAAAUUAGUUCCAACAGUUCUAGUAUUUUUUUUUUUUUUUGACAGAAGCAAAUAAGUAAGUUUUACUUUGUGAUUAAAACAAAAGUGAAAUGCAUUUAGUCCCAGG